UUAUAGAAAACAACAAAAUGAAUAAGGCUGUGAAUAUAAAAUUGUGAAGAGAGAGUAUUUUAAUGUACUAGCUGAUAAACUGACUAAGGGAACAAAACAACUGCUAACUCAUUGAUUUCUUACCAUGCCAUAGACAUUCAGCUCAAAAAGGACAAAUAACUACAGGAAUUCCAUGAUGACCACACAGUGACUCAAUCACAGACCCUGUAAAGAUGGCUGUCUGUCAAUUGUGCUUAUCUUCUGAAUUUUCAGAAACACUUCUUGAAAACAGAGAUGAUUUUUUGUAAAUAAAUGAACUCAAAUCUCUGCUUAUUGCUUGCCACUCAGAGGGAGACACGUAAAAGAAAUAAAAGAUCUACUGAUACCACUGUCUAUUCUCUGAUUUGUUCAAAAUGCUGGAUACAUAUAACCGAAGAAUAUUGAGACUGAUGCACCAAAGCAUAGCUAUUUACCCAGAAAUGUCCAUCUGUUAAUUCUGAUGUUUAUCUCAACAAUGUAAUGACUUUAUUAUUAAAACAUUUCAUGUACGUGUCCACUGGUGCACAAAAUUUUGUACAGUUGAGUGACAUCAUCUGAUAUCUACUAACUUUCACUUAUGCAGAAGUGAUUGAAUUCAUGUAUUCC
This is a non-coding RNA of Pelodiscus sinensis (Chinese soft-shelled turtle), 624 nucleotides long. The record is from RefSeq and is a predicted model, not a curated record. Lineage: Eukaryota; Metazoa; Chordata; Testudines; Trionychidae.